GUUGUUUUCUCGAAAAUCAAUUAAAAAGAGUUGGAUUUUGUAUUGUUAAGACCUUAUCAGCUUACUGUACUUUUUUCUUGCUCUUUUUAAUGCACUUUUCGUUUAACAAGUCAACAUCAAUUUCUUUUGUUGUAAAAGGGUCAUUGGAAGGUGGCUUUCACUUCGGUGAAAGUGUUUAUAGCCUUUGGCUUCUACAAUCGGAGAGAUUGAGGUCUGCAGCGUAGAUCCUUCGGGGUUAGAUACGUAGAUGCUAAGUUAUAGUUUUUUAUAGACAACUUGUUGACUAUGAUUAAUCAUGUAGCUUACUCGUUUGCGCUAUUUUACCUAC
This 328-nucleotide ribosomal RNA is filed under the name uncultured Neocallimastigales. RNAcentral describes it as "partial large subunit ribosomal RNA". Lineage: Eukaryota; Fungi; Neocallimastigomycota; Neocallimastigomycetes; Neocallimastigales. The record is from RNAcentral.